Balaenoptera ricei (Rice's whale) is the source of this 3337-nucleotide long non-coding RNA. RefSeq lists it as uncharacterized. The record is from RefSeq and is a predicted model, not a curated record. The transcript is spliced from 3 exons. NCBI's taxonomy places the organism in Eukaryota, Metazoa, Chordata, Mammalia, Artiodactyla, Balaenopteridae.
AGAGUUAAAGAGUGUGGAAAGGCUCCACCAGAACGGGGUGGCCCAGCCAAAAGAACUGAUUCCGUUUGUGCACUUGUAGGGAGGGCUGGGGUUGCAGGGAGCGCGCUCUGGCACAGUGAUCCCUAGGGCGUGGGUCUCACUGCCCAGGUCUGUCGGGAGAGGAAGCUGAGGUUCCCAGCUGGAGAAACCAGAGCUGCUGCUCCGGGGACCUCCCCACUGGCUGGCCGCCACCCCACUGCCCACGCCCUGCCCACUUCCAGCUGCCAGGAGGCUCACCUGAUUCCCACCAGUUCAAAGCAGUUCUCCUCGAAGUGCUUGGAGCAGAAGUAGAUGUACUCGGACGCCGGGUCCCACAGGCCCUGGCCGCUGGGGUCCAGCCGCUGGCAGUUGGCCAACCACAAGCCCCGCCUUGGAUUGUCCUUUUUGGGGAGCCUGCGGGGCCACAAGCCCGUGAGCCCAACGGGAAAGGCCGGCCCCGCUCAUGCCGCCCCCAGACCUCGCGCUGACACUGCCUGCGCACAGACAAGGAAGCUGAGGCCUCCAGAGGAAAAGAGACUCGCUGAACAUCAUCACGUAGUCCUCAGAACUUGAAGUCCUGUUUUCUGUUAUACAAGCACCAAAUCUCAGAGCAGGAGAGACCAGCUUGAUGCAGCAAUCCCCGAACAUCAUCCCAGAGGGAAGCAUUCGGUUCGGGAAAGAUCUCCAAUGACAACGAAAUCACUCCCCCAGAGGAGGACUCCAUCGGCACCCUGGGAAGUCCUUUGAAAUCCACCCAACCGCACCAUUUUCAAAUGCACACUAUUCGCUUUGAAUCCAGAUCCACUGUAUUUCACAGGAUGCCUGAUGUGUCAUUCUACUCGCUCAGCCCCAGUGUGAUCAGAGCCAGCUCUGUGAUCCGAAGAAAUACCCCAAUGUCUUCAUUUACAAAAUGUGGCUGGGGAGCUCCGUGGUUUGUAAGGCCACGUCCAUCUGACUGUCUAACAAUGAAAGGAAUUGCAGUGCUCGGGGAAGUCAUUCCUCGCUGUCAACAGAAAGCGAGCGCACUGCCGACCUCGCCUGGAUUGCUGAAGUUUGUCUACAUUUCUGUACUCGGCUCCAUUUCCUCUCUGAAAGUUCCUCAAGACCAAGUCCUGUGUCCCCUUCUCAGCAGAUGACCUCCUUCCCCAGCACGGCCCCCGCCACCCCUGGAGGCCGGCCCUGCCCGCUGUGCCCGCUGUCCACGCGCCGGGCAGCCCGACCACCACAGCCAGGACUGCCCGCCUCCCCUGAGCCCAGGGACGACGUGCCGAGGCGAGCUAACUGCCGCGGCUCUCGGACUCGGACGUUGUUACUCGUGGGAACUGUGGCUCCACGGCCGAGAAUGCCGCCUUCGCAGUUUCUCCUUUUCAGCCUCUGCUCUGGCCGCGCGAUCGGGGGGCGGACGCCCACACGAGGCUCCUGGGGCAUCUUUUCAGACCCGGCCCCCACCCCUCUGCCCGGGACACGGCCUCCAGGCCUCCCGCCCACCCGGCUGUACCAUGGUGAGCGCCACCACCGCACUCCGACCUCAACGGCUGCAGCCGCCCAACUGCCGCUGCCGCGCCGGGCGCUCCUAGGACGCGCCGCCGCCAACACCCAUUGGUCUGGAGCACCAUGGGGCGGGCCAAGGUCUGGAAUCCAGCUCCCGAUUGGCUAGCAUGCGACACCCAGAGUGUGGCGCGUUCUGAUUGGACGUGGAUUUGGCGGGAAGGCUGCGGGGUCGCCGAAGGAAGAGCGCAGGUGGCGCCAUGCGGCAUGUGGAAUCUUAGUUCCCCAACCAGGGAUCGAACCCAGGCCCCCUACAUUGGGAGCUCGGAGUCUUAACUACUGGACCGCCAGGGAAGUCCCUCAUUCCUUUUUCUCUUAAACAACUUUAUGAGACAUAGUUCAUAUACCAUACCAUUCACCUGUUUAAAGUAUACAAUUCAAAUACUUUUAGUAUGUCAGUGGAGUUGUGCAACCCUUACCUUAAUCAAUUUUAGAACAUUUCCAUAACCCCAGAUUUCAUCCCUUUUUAUUGCCAAAUAAUAUUCCAUUGUAUAGGUAUACCACAUUUUGUUUAUCCACUCAUCAGUUGGUGGGUAUUUGCAUUUUGUGGAUAUUAUGAACAAUGCUGCUAUGAACAUCUGUGUUCAGAUGGUUCAGAUGGUUCAGAUGUUUUGUGUGUACAUAUGUUUUCAUUUCUCUAGGAGUGGAAUUGCUGGGUCAUAUGGUCAACUCCAUAUUUAACCUUUUGAGGAGCUGCCAGACAAACCAUGUGAUUUUUUUAUCCUGAUUUUCUCACUUAACAUCAAUCAUGUGCAUUUUCACAAAUUGUUAAAUGUUCUUCGAACCCUUGACUUUUAAUGUUUACAGAAUUCCAAAUUGUAGUUAACCAAUCCCCUGUUAUUGGGCAUUUAGAUCAUUUCCAAUUUUCAUAUUAUAAACAGCAUUUUCAUGUGCAUCUUUGGGCAUCCGGUUUUCCAUGCAUCUCUGGUGAUUUCUGUGGAGCAGAUUAGUCAGAACUUUGGAUCGCAGGACAGGCAGUUUUAAGGCUCUUGGUGCAUGAUGAUGAAUUGCUUUCCAAAAAAGCUGUGUCCAUUUGCCUUCUCCCAAGUUGACUUUGAGAAUGCCAGUUGCAGACCACCUUAUAUUUUAAUUGUGUCCAAAGGUCUCCAGGGCAGGGUCUUGUUUGGGCAUCUUUGACCCCAUGCCCAGCUCAGUGUGCAAAAUAUAAUACAAGUUAGUGUUACACGAAUGAGUGAGAGCAAAGGAAGGCCCCGAUUAGUACCAGUGUCUGAGUCACUAUGAAGGCCAGCUCCAUAGGACUUACCACCCAGUUGACAUGGGGACUCGGUGCAGACUCAUGUGUUGAAAGGCAUCUCAAAGUUGAAGUGGCCGAUGGGAGAGAUGAGGAAACUACACAACACAGUCAUUCAGACAGUCUGAAGACGGGCAGGAAUUCUUUUUUGUACUCCACUCUGCGGGCAGCCGUCUUUAUGCAAAGCCCUGGAAGAAUGACCUUCACUGAGCUGGUGAGGUCAUCAAACUCUCUGUUCACAUGGAUAUCCUGAGGAGAAACCCAUUACAAGUCUGUACGUUAUCACUUUCUAAGAACUUGACUGUUUUACUUAUGUACCGAAGGUAUCAAAGAAGCUUAUUAGGGCAUUAGUUGUCCCAAGCCUGAAGGAUUGAAACUGUAAACACAUCUCUGGAAAGGCUUUGACUCAGGCCUGGGUUGAAAAGAAAAGAAGUAGGAUAAGCAGUGAUUUGUGACUAGACUCUUUUCAUAAUUUUUAUUUGGGGAUUCUCUCCUUAAUGUUUAACCACCUUAGAAAAG